This 1037-nucleotide small RNA is filed under the name Pongo abelii (Sumatran orangutan). Its description in RNAcentral is "retained intron". Lineage: Eukaryota; Metazoa; Chordata; Mammalia; Primates; Hominidae. The record is from RNAcentral.
AGGCGGGCACAGCGGCGAGGUUCUGCGCGGGUGCGGAAGACGGGCGGCGCGUGGCGGAAGGCAGGCUUGCUCCUCGGGGUGGGGGAGGGUAUCCGGCUUAACGGGGCUGCGGUGGACGCCACUUCUUAAUGUCGGGGGUCUUCGCGGCGCUCACCUCGGCUCCUGGGGUUCGGGACGGUACGCAGCAGACACCUUCGCGCCGAAGGCGGUAGGGCGCCACGGAAAGGAACCGCUGUAGGCACGUAAGGCCUCGUGAGGUUGCGUCGCGCGCGGAGCCCUCUGGGACUUGUAGUUCUGGAGAUGGAGCGAGCUGUGCCGCUCGUGGUGCCUCUGGGUCAGACAGAGGUGUUCCAGGCCUUGCAGCGGCUCCAUAUGACCAUCUUCUCCCAGAGCGUCUCACCAUGUGGGAAGUUUCUGGCGGCUGGCAACAAUUAUGGGCAGAUUGCCAUCUUCAGCUUGUCUGCUGCUUUGAGCUCAGAAGCCAAAGAGGAAAGUAAGAAACCGGUGGUGACUUUCCAAGGUGGGUAUAGCUGUGGAGUCUGGCUUCAGGACUUUGGGUGGGAUUGGCUCACUCAGUUCUGCAUUUCUCUUUAGCCCAUGAUGGGCCUGUCUAUAGCAUGGUUUCCACCGAUCGACAUCUGCUUAGUGCUGGGGAUGGGGAGGUGAAGGCCUGGCUUUGGGCGGAGAUGCUCAAGAAGGGCUGUAAGGAGCUGUGGCGUCGUCAGCCUCCAUACAGGUGAGCCAGGGCCACGUGGAUAGAGGGUGCAUCAGGGUGAAGCCACUUCCUCACUGACCUUGCCUUUCCUUCCCCAGGACCAGCCUGGAAGUGCCCGAGAUCAAUGCUUUGCUGCUGGUCCCCAAGGAGAAUUCCCUCAUCCUGGCUGGGGGAGACUGUCAGUUGCACACUAUGGACCUUGAAACUGGGACUUUCACGAGGGUCCUCCGGGGCCACACAGACUACAUCCAUUGCCUGGCACUGCGGGAAAGGAGCCCAGAGGUGCUGUCAGGUGGCGAGGACGGAGCUGUUCGACUUUGGG